This 645-nucleotide ribosomal RNA is filed under the name Triticum aestivum (bread wheat). Its description in RNAcentral is "partial small subunit ribosomal RNA". Lineage: Eukaryota; Viridiplantae; Streptophyta; Magnoliopsida; Poales; Poaceae. The record is from RNAcentral.
AUGAGAGGUGCUGACCUAGAAGAGGAGCCCCUCUUCCCCCUGCCCCAGUGUGAGCCGCCAGACACAAGAGGAACCACUCUGAGGUCACAAGACACCACUGGCCCUCCUCUCUGUAGGUACUCCCCCUCUCAUCUCAACAAGUUCACUCUUUCUAAACUUAAUCAGUUCUAUAAGCAACGUAGUAAGAACAAAUGGGCUGUUGCUGGUGACCGUAAUACUAAUUUUUUUCACCAAGCUGUUGUUAAGCGUAGGAAGAGAAAUACCAUUUGCUCUGUUAAGGAUGAGAAUAAUAUGAUUCAUUUCAAUCCUGCUGCUAUCACGAAUACCUUUGUUAAAUACAAUGAUAAUGUGGGUAAUCCGUACCUUUCAACACAAUGGCCCAGUGGCUCUUUGGAUCCCACCUAUGCUCUGCCUGACAAUCAUGAGAUUUUGCAGAUUCUGAAGGAUAUGAAACCUAAUGCUUCUCCAGGUGAUGGUUUUAAUGUUGAGUUCUAUUUAGCUACUUGGGACUGGAUUGGAGACGAGGUAACUCAGCUUGUUGUUAGUUUUUAUCUUUCUGGAGUUCUUCCUCCUCAUAUUAAUAACACCAACAUUGCUCUCAUUCCUAAAAAACUUGUUCCUCAAGUGCCUAUGGAUUACAGGCCU